Molecule: long non-coding RNA, 716 nt
Filed under: Homo sapiens (human)
Lineage: Eukaryota; Metazoa; Chordata; Mammalia; Primates; Hominidae
Description: LHRI_LNC622.1
Source: RNAcentral
CCCAGGGUUCUGCGUGCCAGUAAGCGCUGGGUGGGGCCAAGGCAACCCUCGCUGCGCCCCUUGGCACCCACACAGACUCCUCCUGUGUGGGGAGGGUGGGAACGCUUCUUACCUUCCGUCCCAUAAUCAACUGUCUUCUUUGAACAAUAGAUUGUGAAUAAUUUCACAUCCCGGAACAUUCUCUCUCCAGGCAUGAUUUUCGUGGCUGCAAAACAGCGGCUUCUCCAUCAUUACGCAACUGGCCUCUCUGAUCGUUUCCAGAUUGCUCUCGGCCAUGCACCUCCUUGUCUAAACUCCGUUCUGCACCACCAGCAGUAUCAUGGCCUGGGGAGAAGGGGCUGUGUGCUCCAUUCCAGGAUCAAGACUUUGUAGAAAUCAUGUUUUCUAGAUGGUUGUGGGCUGUUGUCAGCAGAAGGACUCAAGGCAAUUAACAUACAGCUAAUGAACUCCAAAGAGGCGCUUUGAUUUUUGAAGAAUCUGACUUGAGAACAAAUCAAGACUAAGACUAAUAUAGCCUCAUCUUUCAACAUAGGAGAGUCGGAAAACAGGCUGAGUCUGCGACACCCAAAUGCCUGCCACCACCACAUCCCGGUAUGUGGGUUCAGCACUUGACAGCUAACAGAUCUCUUUGCUAGAUACAGCAAUCACAUUUUCUGGUUAAGGGAGUGAAAUUAACAUUUACCUUUUUUUUUUUUUUUUUUGAGACAGAGUCUCGC